UAAAAAUUAAAACUCUAGUUCAUCAUCAAAGUAUAAGUCUAAAAAUCAUCCUCAAACUCAUCUUCUUCAACAUAAUCCCCAUCGGCCUCCACCUCAUUAUCUUCAACAUCACCUCCAAUUUCUUCAGAGCAGAAAGACAGAAAUAGAAAGAAACAUAAAAGAAACAGAAGAAUCAGAACAGAGCUUGGAGAAGUAGAGAAGAAACAGAAUGAACAUGGAGAAGAAACAGAGCUUAGAGAAGAAACAGAAUCAGGUGAAGCUUUGAUGAGUUGAAGUGGUCGAAGAGACGAGCUUUGAUGAUGAUGAAGCGGCGGAUCGGUGAAAAGGUGAGAGAAUAUGAUGGUGAGAAUGAAGGUUAAGUGUGUUAACAACAAAGGACAUGUAAAAAACCAAUUGUGCCCUUACUAGAAUCAGUCAAAUUUCAAAAAUACCCUUUAAAACCCACUAACAUGAAAUAGAAGUCCUGAUCCACUGAGAUCCGGGAUCUGCUCCGCUCCACCGGGAUCCCACGGGAUCAACGACACUGGAUUAUAUCAUUCAAAUUUUCUUCAAGUUAUCAUAAUUUGAGAAAAUGGAGAAUGCACUAUCAAUUUAAAAUUGUAAUUGUUUUACACUAACAACCAAUUACAAUUUGCCAACGCAAGAAAGAAUCAUGUAACUGCUUGUUAUUUUAAAACUGUCAAAGAUGAUGUGGCAAAAUGAAGAGUUGUUAUUGGAUGUCGGUGUAAAAUAACUUUACACUAACAGUGCAUGUCCAUUAAUCUCUUAUAGUUUAUACAUGUUUUGGGAUUUGUUAAAGGAUAAAGUCAAAUGAAAGUGUUCCAU
Molecule: long non-coding RNA, 825 nt
Filed under: Trifolium pratense (red clover)
Lineage: Eukaryota; Viridiplantae; Streptophyta; Magnoliopsida; Fabales; Fabaceae
Description: long non-coding RNA (TPRA_LNC003933)
Source: RNAcentral